GGAGGAGUACCCAAGUGGUUCAAGGGGGCAGUUUGCUAAACUGUUAGGCUGGAGUAAUCCGGCGCGAGAGUUCGAAUCUCUCCUCCUCCG
Molecule: transfer RNA, 90 nt
Filed under: Candidatus Saganbacteria bacterium CG08_land_8_20_14_0_20_45_16
Lineage: Bacteria; Bacillati
Description: tRNA-Ser
Rfam family: tRNA
About the family: Transfer RNA (tRNA) molecules are approximately 80 nucleotides in length. Their secondary structure includes four short double-helical elements and three loops (D, anti-codon, and T loops).
Source: RNAcentral